UUUUUUUUCUCCUAAAACUAUUAUUCUCUCAGGUGUGGACUCCAAAGUACCCAGCUUCCCUUCAGGAACAUUUUACUCCAUCUCCAGUUUCUUAACAAAUCUAAGGAUUAAGAAUCAUCCUUAGUCAAAUCUUGUUCGGGUCCAGAGCACAAAAAGAUCUCCAAGAAAUCUGGAGAGACAAAAUAUAUUUUAUUUAUUUAUUAUAUCAUGAAUAUUCAGUAGGAUUUUUCUCUAAUAGCACCUAUGAGAUGGACUCAUAGAAUUAAGGGUAAACUUGAAUGCUCUGUAAGUAAUGAAGGUGUAGCCAGGCACAGUAGCACACUGUAAUCUCAGCUGCUCUGGAAGCUGAGGCAGAGGGAUCACAAGUUCAGGGACAGUCUAGACGAGGUGGAGGCAAGAGUUGGUAAUAUAGUGAGACUCUGUCUCAAAAUAAAAAGUAGAAACACCUGGGCAUGUAGCUCAGUGGUAGAACAACCCCAAAUUCAAUCCCGUGGCUGCAAAAAAAAAAAAGAAAAAAAGAAAAAUG
This 526-nucleotide long non-coding RNA is filed under the name Marmota monax (woodchuck). Lineage: Eukaryota; Metazoa; Chordata; Mammalia; Rodentia; Sciuridae. The record is from RNAcentral.